Molecule: ribosomal RNA, 260 nt
Filed under: uncultured bacterium
Lineage: Bacteria
Description: partial 16S ribosomal RNA
Rfam family: Bacterial small subunit ribosomal RNA
Source: RNAcentral
CGUAGGUGGCGAGCGUUGUCCGGAUUUUACUGGGCGUAAAAGGGGAGCGUAGGCGGACUUUUUAAGUGAGAUGUGAAAUACCCGGGGCUCAACUUGGGUGUUGCAUUUUCAAACUGGAAGUCUAGAGUGCAGGAGAGGAGAAUGGAAUUCCUAGUGUAGCGGUGAAAUGCGUAGAGAUUAGGAAGAACACCAGUGGCGAAGGCGAUUCUCUGGACUGUAACUGACGCUGAGGCUCGAAAGCGUGGGGAGCAAACAGGAUU